UACGUAGGGUGCGAGCGUUAAUCGGAAUUACUGGGCGUAAAGCGUGCGCAGGCGGUUUUGUAAGCCAGAUGUGAAAUCCCCGGGCUUAACCUGGGAAUGGCAUUUGGGACUGCAAGGCUCGAGUGCGGCAGAGGAGACUGGAAUUCCUGGUGUAGCAGUGAAAUGCGUAGAUAUCAGGAGGAACACCAAUGGCGAAGGCAGGUCUCUGGGCUGACACUGACGCUCAUGCACGAAAGCGUGGGGAGCAAACAGG
This 253-nucleotide ribosomal RNA is filed under the name uncultured bacterium. RNAcentral describes it as "partial 16S ribosomal RNA". It matches the Rfam family "Bacterial small subunit ribosomal RNA", at positions 524 to 776 of the family's 1533-position model. The record is from RNAcentral.